GGGCGCAUAGCUCAGUUGGUAGAGCAGCUGACUCUUAAUCAGCGGGUCCUAGGUUCGAACCCUAGUGCGCCCACCA
This 76-nucleotide transfer RNA is filed under the name Methylorubrum extorquens. RNAcentral's name for it is "tRNA-Lys(ctt)". It matches the Rfam family "tRNA". From Rfam's summary of the family: Transfer RNA (tRNA) molecules are approximately 80 nucleotides in length. Lineage: Bacteria; Pseudomonadati; Pseudomonadota; Alphaproteobacteria; Hyphomicrobiales; Methylobacteriaceae. The record is from RNAcentral. RNAcentral also lists the same sequence under 211 other names.